Molecule: non-coding RNA, 153 nt
Filed under: human gut metagenome
Source: RNAcentral
CGUCAGGGUGUCCGCCGUUUGGCGGGUGAAAAGGGAAUCCGGUGUGAAUCCGGAGCGAUGCAGUCACUGUGUACGGAGCGCUCUUGCAGAACCACUGGGAAACCGGGAAGGGCAAGAUCGCGAAGACCGAAGUCAGGAGACCUGCCCUGGCGU